UACGAAGGGUGCAAACGUUGCUCGGAAUUAUUGGGCGUAAAGCGCACGUAGGCGGCUUGGCAAGUCGGAUGUGAAAGCCCUCGGCUCAACCAAGGAAGUGCAUCCGAAACUGCUGAGCUUGAGUACUUAAGAGGAUCGCGGAAUUCCCGGUGUAGAGGUGAAAUUCGUAGAUAUCGGGAGGAACACCAAUUGCGAAGGCAGCUCGCUGGGACGUUACUGACGCUGAGACGCGAAAGCGUGGGGAGCAAACAGG
Molecule: ribosomal RNA, 253 nt
Filed under: uncultured bacterium
Lineage: Bacteria
Description: partial 16S ribosomal RNA
Rfam family: Bacterial small subunit ribosomal RNA
Source: RNAcentral